This 217-nucleotide long non-coding RNA is filed under the name Marmota monax (woodchuck). The record is from RNAcentral. Lineage: Eukaryota; Metazoa; Chordata; Mammalia; Rodentia; Sciuridae.
NNNNNNGGCAAGCAGCUGGAAGACGGGCGCACCCUGUCCGACUACAACAUCCAGAAGGAGUCCACCCUGCACCUGGUGCUGCGUCUCAGAGGUGGGAUGCAGAUCUUCGUGAAGACCCUGACGGGCAAGACCAUCACCCUGGAGGUGGAGCCCAGUGACACCAUUGAGAAUGUCAAGGCGAAGAUCCAAGACAAGGAGGGCAUCCCCCCCGACCAGC